RNAcentral lists this transfer RNA (73 nucleotides) under Thermoleophilia bacterium. RNAcentral describes it as "tRNA-Lys". It matches the Rfam family "tRNA". From Rfam's summary of the family: Transfer RNA (tRNA) molecules are approximately 80 nucleotides in length. Their secondary structure includes four short double-helical elements and three loops (D, anti-codon, and T loops). The record is from RNAcentral. Lineage: Bacteria; Bacillati; Actinomycetota; Thermoleophilia.
GGGCCGUUAGCUCAGCUGGCAGAGCAGGUGACUCUUAAUCACAAGGUCCCCGGUUCGAUCCCGGGACGGCCCA